GUGCAAAAGUAAUUGUGGUUUUUGUCAUUGAAAGUAAUGGCAAAAACUGCAAUAACUUU
This 59-nucleotide microRNA precursor is filed under the name Colobus angolensis palliatus. RNAcentral's name for it is "miRNA (ENSCANG00000015159.1)". The record is from RNAcentral. Lineage: Eukaryota; Metazoa; Chordata; Mammalia; Primates; Cercopithecidae.